Molecule: ribosomal RNA, 606 nt
Filed under: uncultured bacterium
Lineage: Bacteria
Description: bacterial SSU rRNA
Rfam family: Bacterial small subunit ribosomal RNA (bases 1-518)
Source: RNAcentral
CCUACGGGAGGCAGCAGUGGGGAAUAUUGGACAAUGGGCGAAAGCCUGAUCCAGCCAUGCCGCGUGAGUGAUGAAGGCCUUAGGGUUGUAAAGCUCUUUUAUCCGGGAAGAUAAUGACUGUACCGGAAGAAUAAGCCCCGGCUAACUUCGUGCCAGCAGCCGCGGUAAUACGAAGGGGGCUAGCGUUGCUCGGAAUCACUGGGCGUAAAGGGCGCGUAGGCGGAUGAUUAAGUCGGAGGUGAAAGCCCAGGGCUCAACCCUGGAAUUGCCUUCGAUACUGAUCGUCUCGAGAAUGGAAGAGGUAAGUGGAAUACCGAGUGUAGAGGUGAAAUUCGUAGAUAUUCGGUGGAACACCAGUGGCGAAGGCGACUUACUGGUCCAUUUCUGACGCUGAGGCGCGAAAGCGUGGGGAUCAAACAGGAUUAGAUACCCUGGUAGUCCACGCCGUAAACGAUGAAUGCCAGCCGUUGGGGAGCUUGCUCUUCAGUGGCGCNGCUACGUACUUAGUACACUCCGUCCGUCGGGUAGGUACGGUCGCGAGAAUUAAACUAACAAAGAAGUUAGACGGCGUGAGACGUGCCGACGGACGACGACGAGGGAGGUAGG